GGUGCUUGCAUCAUGAUUUACAUUUGAGUGAGUGGCGAACUGGUGAGUAACACGUGGGAAACCUGCCCAGAAGCGGGGGAUAACACCUGGAAACAGAUGCUAAUACCGCAUAACAACUUGGACCGCAUGGUCCGAGCUUGAAAGAUGGCUUCGGCUAUCACUUUUGGAUGGUCCCGCGGCGUAUUAGCUAGAUGGUGGGGUAACGGCUCACCAUGGCAAUGAUACGUAGCCGACCUGAGAGGGUAAUCGGCCACAUUGGGACUGAGACACGGCCCAAACUCCUACGGGAGGCAGCAGUAGGGAAUCUUCCACAAUGGACGAAAGUCUGAUGGAGCAACGCCGCGUGAGUGAAGAAGGGUUUCGGCUCGUAAAACUCUGUUGUUAAAGAAGAACAUAUCUGAGAGUAACUGUUCAGGUAUUGACGGUAUUUAACCAGAAAGCCACGGCUAACUACGUGCCAGCAGCCGCGGUAAUACGUAGGUGGCAAGCGUUGUCCGGAUUUAUUGGGCGUAAAGCGAGCGCAGGCGGUUUUUUAAGUCUGAUGUGAAAGCCUUCGGCUCAACCGAAGAAGUGCAUCGGAAACUGGGGAAACUUGAGUGCAGAAGAGGACAGUGGAACUCCAUGUGUAGCGGUGAAAUGCGUAGAUAUAUGGAAGAACACCAGUGGCGAAGGCGGCUGUCUGGUCUGUAACUGACGCUGAGGCUCGAAAGUAUGGGUAGCAAACAGGAUUAGAUACCCUGGUAGUCCAUACCGUAAACGAUGAAUGCUAAGUGUUGGAGGGUUUCCGCCCUUCAGUGCUGCAGCUAACGCAUUAAGCAUUCCGCCUGGGGAGUACGGCCGCAAGGCUGAAACUCAAAGGAAUUGACGGGGGCCCGCACAAGCGGUGGAGCAUGUGGUUUAAUUCGAAGCUACGCGAAGAACCUUACCAGGUCUUGACAUACUAUGCAAAUCUAAGAGAUUAGACGUUCCCUUCGGGGACAUGGAUACAGGUGGUGCAUGGUUGUCGUCAGCUCGUGUCGUGAGAUGUUGGGUUAAGUCCCGCAACGAGCGCAACCCUUAUUAUCAGUUGCCAGCAUUAAGUUGGGCACUCUGGUGAGACUGCCGGUGACAAACCGGAGGAAGGUGGGGAUGACGUCAAAUCAUCAUGCCCCUUAUGACCUGGGCUACACACGUGCUACAAUGGAUGGUACAACGAGUUGCGAACUCGCGAGAGUAAGCUAAUCUCUUAAAGCCAUUCUCAGUUCGGAUUGUAGGCUGCAACUCGCCUACAUGAAGUCGGAAUCGCUAGUAAUCGCGGAUCAGCAUGCCGCGGUGAAUACGUUCCCGGGCCUUGUACACACCGCCCGUCACACCAUGAGAGUUUGUAACACCCAAA
RNAcentral lists this ribosomal RNA (1375 nucleotides) under Lactiplantibacillus plantarum. RNAcentral's name for it is "bacterial SSU rRNA". It matches the Rfam family "Bacterial small subunit ribosomal RNA", at positions 64 to 1425 of the family's 1533-position model. Lineage: Bacteria; Bacillati; Bacillota; Bacilli; Lactobacillales; Lactobacillaceae. The record is from RNAcentral.